GGGGUCUUAGCUCAGUUGGUAGAGCGCCUGCUUUGCAAGCAGGAUGUCGGGAGUUCGACUCUCCCAGACUCCACCA
RNAcentral lists this transfer RNA (76 nucleotides) under Fibrobacterota bacterium. Its description in RNAcentral is "tRNA-Ala". It matches the Rfam family "tRNA". From Rfam's summary of the family: Transfer RNA (tRNA) molecules are approximately 80 nucleotides in length. Their secondary structure includes four short double-helical elements and three loops (D, anti-codon, and T loops). Lineage: Bacteria; Pseudomonadati; Fibrobacterota. RNAcentral also lists the same sequence under 2 other names. The record is from RNAcentral.